RNAcentral lists this small nucleolar RNA (133 nucleotides) under Vulpes vulpes (red fox). Lineage: Eukaryota; Metazoa; Chordata; Mammalia; Carnivora; Canidae. The record is from RNAcentral.
UUCCUUUUAGAACACUUGCUGGGUCUGCUCUGUGGCCUGGGAAGCUGUCAGAGAAGGGCAGAGCAGUCCAUUGUCACUGUUGAUGAGAUGGCAGUGGGAUGUGUUGUUGGUCUCAGAUUGUUGUGGGACAGAC